RNAcentral lists this ribosomal RNA (492 nucleotides) under uncultured bacterium. RNAcentral describes it as "partial 16S ribosomal RNA". It matches the Rfam family "Bacterial small subunit ribosomal RNA", at positions 28 to 507 of the family's 1533-position model. The record is from RNAcentral.
GAUGAACGCUAGCUACAGGCUUAACACAUGCAAGUCGAGGGGAAACGGCAUUGAGUGCUUGCACUCUUUGGACGUCGACCGGCGCACGGGUGAGUAACGCGUAUCCAACCUUCCCAUUACUGUGGGAUAACCUGCCGAAAGGCAGACUAAUACCGCAUAGUCUUCGAUGACGGCAUCAGAUUUGAAGUAAAGAUUUAUCGGUAAUGGAUGGGGAUGCGUCUGAUUAGCUUGUUGGCGGGGUAACGGCCCACCAAGGCUACGAUCAGUAGGGGUUCUGAGAGGAAGGUCCCCCACAUUGGAACUGAGACACGGUCCAAACUCCUACGGGAGGCAGCAGUGAGGAAUAUUGGUCAAUGGACGGAAGUCUGAACCAGCCAAGUAGCGUGCAGGAUGACGGCACUAGGGGUUGUAAACUGCUUUUGUAUGGGGAUAAAGUUAGGGACGUGUCCCUAUUUGCAGGUACCAUACGAAUAAGGACCGGCUAAUUCCGUG